RNAcentral lists this ribosomal RNA (417 nucleotides) under uncultured bacterium. Its description in RNAcentral is "bacterial SSU rRNA". It matches the Rfam family "Bacterial small subunit ribosomal RNA", at positions 769 to 1185 of the family's 1533-position model. The record is from RNAcentral.
UUAACCGGAUUAGAUACCCUGGUAGUCCACGCCGUAAACGAUGUCUACUUGGAGGUUGUGGCCUUGAGCCGUGGCUUUCGGAGCUAACGCGUUAAGUAGACCGCCUGGGGAGUACGGUCGCAAGAUUAAAACUCAAAUGAAUUGACGGGGGCCCGCACAAGCGGUGGAGCAUGUGGUUUAAUUCGAUGCAACGCGAAGAACCUUACCUACUCUUGACAUCCAGAGAAGCCAGCGGAGACGCAGGUGUGCCUUCGGGAACUCUGAGACAGGUGCUGCAUGGCUGUCGUCAGCUCGUGUUGUGAAAUGUUGGGUUAAGUCCCGCAACGAGCGCAACCCUUAUCCUUGUUUGCCAGCGAGUCAUGUCGGGAACUCCAGGGAGACUGCCGGUGAUAAACCGGAGGAAGGUGGGGAUGACGU